This 269-nucleotide non-coding RNA is filed under the name Novipirellula aureliae. The record is from RNAcentral. Lineage: Bacteria; Pseudomonadati; Planctomycetota; Planctomycetia; Pirellulales; Pirellulaceae.
GGAGAUCCCGCCUGGGUAAGUGCUAGCCCCACGCCCAGUAUCGAGUGUUGCAGCGACUGUAUAAGACCAGAGGUCGAAGUCAGUCGUUGAAGCGUACACAGAAAGGUAGUGAGGAUGAAGCGAUCGUAGGUGGCCCUGCGACGUUGAAUGGAAUUAGCCCCGAAAUUUGGUAACUGUCGGAUCCUGCCCAAGGUUUGUUCAUGCCUGAAGGCAAUAUCGGUUGCAGCGUUAACGGCAAGCUGUCAUCGGAGGCCCGGGGUCGGCGGCCC